CGGAGGGGGCUAGCGUUGUUCGGAAUUACUGGGCGUAAAGCGCACGUAGGCGGCUUUGUAAGUUAGAGGUGAAAGCCCGGGGCUCAACUCCGGAAUUGCCUUUAAGACUGCAUCGCUAGAACGUCGGAGAGGUGAGUGGAAUUCCGAGUGUAGAGGUGAAAUUCGUAGAUAUUCGGAAGAACACCAGUGGCGAAGGCGACUCACUGGACGACUGUUGACGCUGAGGUGCGAAAGCGUGGGGAGCAAACAGGAUU
This 254-nucleotide ribosomal RNA is filed under the name uncultured bacterium. RNAcentral describes it as "partial 16S ribosomal RNA". It matches the Rfam family "Bacterial small subunit ribosomal RNA", at positions 526 to 779 of the family's 1533-position model. The record is from RNAcentral.